RNAcentral lists this ribosomal RNA (497 nucleotides) under uncultured Glomeromycotina. RNAcentral's name for it is "partial small subunit ribosomal RNA". It matches the Rfam family "Eukaryotic small subunit ribosomal RNA", at positions 591 to 1092 of the family's 1831-position model. Lineage: Eukaryota; Fungi; Glomeromycota. The record is from RNAcentral.
CCAAUAGCGUAUAUUAAAGUUGUUGCAGUUAAAAAGCUCGUAGUUGAAUUUCAGGCCUGGCUGGACGGUCCGCCCUUCGGGUGAGUACUGUCUGUGGUCGGGUCCUACCUUCUGGCGAAGCGUCAUGGCCUUAACCGGCCGUGGCGGGGAACCAGGACUUUUACUGUGAAAAAAUUAGAGUGUUCAAAGCAGGCAAUCGCUUGGAUACAUUAGCAUGGAAUAAUGGAAUAGGACAAUGGUUCUAUUUGUUGGUUUCUAGGACCGUUGUAAUGAUUAAUAGGGAUAGUUGGGGGCAUUAGUAUUCAAUUGUCAGAGGUGAAAUUCUUGGAUUUAUUGAAGACUAACUACUGCGAAAGCAUUUGCCAAGGAUGUUUUCAUUAAUCAAGAACGAAAGUUAGGGGAUCGAAGACGAUCAGAUACCGUCGUAGUCUUAACCAUAAACUAUGCCGACUAGGAAUCGGGCGAUGUUGAAAAAACGACGCGCUCGGCACCUCAUG